This 387-nucleotide unclassified non-coding RNA is filed under the name soil metagenome. RNAcentral's name for it is "partial contains 5.8S ribosomal RNA, internal transcribed spacer 2, and large subunit ribosomal RNA". The stretch from base 1 to 122 matches the Rfam family "5.8S ribosomal RNA", at positions 35 to 154 of the family's 154-position model. The record is from RNAcentral.
GAUGAAGAACGCAGCGAAAUGCGAUAAGUAAUGUGAAUUGCAGAAUUCAGUGAAUCAUCGAAUCUUUGAACGCACCUUGCACCCUUUGGACUGCUCCAAAGGGUAUGCUCGUUUGAGUGUCAUUGUACUCUCACACUCUCUGAUCCUUUGGAUUUGGGGAGCAGUGGACUUGGGUGCUUGCUGCUUCCUUGUGGCUCACCUGAAAUGCAUCAGUGCAUCUCUCGAUUGGACAUAGUACGGCGUGAUAAGUGUCUUCGCCGGCACCUCAUAUGAGGGUGGCCGAUCGGGAGCUCUGUGCUUUCAAACCGUCUUCGGACAACGCUGACAACUUGACCUCAAAUCGAGUAGGACUACCCGCUGAACUUAAGCAUAUCAAUAAGCUGAGGA